GACGAACGCUGGCGGCGUGCUUAACACAUGCAAGUCGAACGGAAAGGCCCUGCUGUUGUGGGGUGCUCGAGUGGCGAACGGAUGAGUAACACGUGAGUAACCUGCCCUUGACUUUGGGAUAACUUCAGGAGACUGGGGCUAAUACCGGCUAGGAGCGCCUGCUGCAUGGUGGGGGUUGGAAAGUUUCGGCGGGUGGGGAUGGACUCGCGGCUUAUCAGCUUGUUGGUGGGGUAGUGGCUUACCAAGGCUUUGACGGGUAGCCGGCCUGAGAGGGUGACCGGCCACAUUGGUACUGAGAUACGGCCCAGACUCCUACGGGAGGCAGCGGUGGGGAAUAUUGCACAAUGGGCGGAAGCCUGAUGCAGCAACGCCGCGUGCGGGAUGACGGCCUUCGGGUUGUAAACCGCGUUCGCCUGCGACGAAGCGUGAGUGACGGUAAUGGGUAAAGAAGCACCGGCUAACUACGUG
This 468-nucleotide ribosomal RNA is filed under the name uncultured bacterium. Its description in RNAcentral is "partial 16S ribosomal RNA". It matches the Rfam family "Bacterial small subunit ribosomal RNA", at positions 28 to 507 of the family's 1533-position model. The record is from RNAcentral.